This 230-nucleotide long non-coding RNA is filed under the name Carica papaya (papaya). RNAcentral describes it as "long non-coding RNA (CPAP_LNC010810)". The record is from RNAcentral. Lineage: Eukaryota; Viridiplantae; Streptophyta; Magnoliopsida; Brassicales; Caricaceae.
CAAGAAAAAGUGCACCAAUUUUUAGUUGGAUGUAAUGGUACCUUUAAUAUAAUACCUCAAAUUUUAGGAGUGAACAUUUACCUUCUCUUUCUAAAGCAUAUGCCUUGUUUACUCAAGAAGAGAAACAACAAUUAUUAUGUUCUUCUAUUAAACCUAUUGUUGAGGCUGUUGCUUUUACUGUUGGAAGUAAUACUAAUAUGUAUUUCAAAUCUAAAGAACGUUGUGCAUAU